RNAcentral lists this ribosomal RNA (497 nucleotides) under uncultured bacterium. Its description in RNAcentral is "partial 16S ribosomal RNA". It matches the Rfam family "Bacterial small subunit ribosomal RNA", at positions 28 to 507 of the family's 1533-position model. The record is from RNAcentral.
GAUGAACGCUGGCGGCGUGCCUAAUACAUGCAAGUCGAGCGAACAGACGAGGAGCUUGCUCCUCUGACGUUAGCGGCGGACGGGUGAGUAACACGUGGAUAACCUACCUAUAAGACUGGUAUAACUUCGGGAAACCGGAGCUAAUACCGGAUAAUAUAUUGAACCGCAUGGUUCAAUAGUGAAAGACGGUUUUGCUGUCACUUAUAGAUGGAUCCGCGCCGCAUGAGCUAGUUGGUAAGGUAACGGCUUACCAAGGCAACGAUGCGUAGCCGACCUGAGAGGGUGAUCGGCCACACUGGAACUGAGACACGGUCCAGACUCCUACGGGAGGCAGCAGUAGGGAAUCUUCCGCAAUGGGCGAAAGCCUGACGGAGCAACGCCGCGUGAGUGAUGAAGGUCUUCAGAUCGUAAAACUCUGUUAUUAGGGAAGAACAAAUGUGUAAGUAACUAUGCACGUCUUGACGGUACCUAAUCAGAAAGCCACGGCUAACUACGUG